RNAcentral lists this ribosomal RNA (480 nucleotides) under uncultured bacterium. Its description in RNAcentral is "partial 16S ribosomal RNA". It matches the Rfam family "Bacterial small subunit ribosomal RNA", at positions 28 to 523 of the family's 1533-position model. The record is from RNAcentral.
GACGAACGCUGGCGGCGUGCUUAACACAUGCAAGUCGAGCGGAAAGGCCACUUCGGUGGUACUCGAGCGGCGAACGGGUGAGUAACACGUGAGUAAUCUGCCCUUCACUUCGGGAUAGCUCCGGGAAACCGGGAUUAAUACCGGAUAUGACUACCUUCGGCAUCGGGGGUGGUGGAAAGUUUUUUCGGUGGGGGAUGUGCUCGCGGCCUAUCAGCUUGAUGGUGGGGUAAUGGCCUACCAUGGCUUCGACGGGUAGCCGGCCUGAGAGGGUGACCGGCCACACUGGGACUGAGACACGGCCCAGACUCCUACGGGAGGCAGCAGUGGGGAAUAUUGGACAAUGGGCGGAAGCCUGAUCCAGCAACGCCGCGUGAGGGAUGACGGCCUUCGGGUUGUAAACCUCUUUCAGCACAGACGAAGCGAAAGUGACGGUAUGUGCAGAAGAAGGACCGGCCAACUACGUGCCAGCAGCCGCGGUAA